This 372-nucleotide ribosomal RNA is filed under the name uncultured organism. Its description in RNAcentral is "partial 16S ribosomal RNA". It matches the Rfam family "Bacterial small subunit ribosomal RNA", at positions 527 to 896 of the family's 1533-position model. The record is from RNAcentral.
GUAGGUGGCAAGCGUUGUCCGGAAUUAUUGGGCGUAAAGCGCGCGCAGGUGGUUCUUUAAGUCUGAUGUGAAAGCCCCCGGGCUCAACCGGGGAGGGUCAUUGGAAACUGAGGAACUUGAGUGCAGGAGAGGAAAGUGGAAUUCCACGUGUAGCGGUGAAAUGCGUAGAUAUGUGGAGGAACACCAGUGGCGAAGGCGACUUUCUGGCCUGUAACUGACACUGAGGCGCGAAAGCGUGGGGAGCAAACAGGAUUAGAUACCCUGGUAGUCCACGCCGUAAACGAUGAGUGCUAAGUGUUGGGGGGUUUCCGCCCCUCAGUGCUGCAGCUAACGCAUUAAGCACUCCGCCUGGGGAGUACGGUCGCAAGACUG